UGGUUCAGUUGGCAGAGCAUGGCGCUUGCAACACCAGGGUUGUGGGUUCGAUUCCCAC
This 58-nucleotide transfer RNA is filed under the name Salmo salar (Atlantic salmon). It matches the Rfam family "tRNA", at positions 8 to 63 of the family's 71-position model. From Rfam's summary of the family: Transfer RNA (tRNA) molecules are approximately 80 nucleotides in length. Their secondary structure includes four short double-helical elements and three loops (D, anti-codon, and T loops). The record is from Rfam by way of RNAcentral. Lineage: Eukaryota; Metazoa; Chordata; Actinopteri; Salmoniformes; Salmonidae.